GAACGCUGGCGGCGUGCUUAAUACAUGCAAGUCGAGCGGACGGACGGGAGCUUGCUCCCUUAGGUCAGCGGCGGACGGGUGAGUAACACGUGGGUAACCUGCCUGUAAGACUGGGAUAACUCCGGGAAACCGGGGCUAAUACCGGAUGCUUGAUUGAACCGCAUGGUUCAAUCAUAAAAGGUGGCUUUUAGCUACCACUUACAGAUGGACCCGCGGCGCAUUAGCUAGUUGGUGAGGUAACGGCUCACCAAGGCGACGAUGCGUAGCCGACCUGAGAGGGUGAUCGGCCACACUGGGACUGAGACACGGCCCAGACUCCUACGGGAGGCAGCAGUAGGGAAUCUUCCGCAAUGGACGAAAGUCUGACGGAGCAACGCCGCGUGAGUGAUGAAGGUUUUCGGAUCGUAAAACUCUGUUGUUAGGGAAGAACAAGUACCGUUCGAAUAGGGCGGUACCUUGACGGUACCUAACCAGAAAGCCACGGCUAACUACGUGCCAGCAGCCGCGGUAAUACGUAGGUGGCAAGCGUUGUCCGGAAUUAUUGGGCGUAAAGCGCGCGCAGGCGGUUUCUUAAGUCUGAUGUGAAAGCCCCCGGCUCAACCGGGGAGGGUCAUUGGAAACUGGGGAACUUGAGUGCAGAAGAGGAGAGUGGAAUUCCACGUGUAGCGGUGAAAUGCGUAGAGAUGUGGAGGAACACCAGUGGCGAAGGCGACUCUCUGGUCUGUAACUGACGCUGAGGCGCGAAAGCGUGGGGAGCGAACAGGAUUAGAUACCCUGGUAGUCCACGCCGUAAACGAUGAGUGCUAAGUGUUAGAGGGUUUCCGCCCUUUAGUGCUGCAGCAAACGCAUUAAGCACUCCGCCUGGGGAGUACGGUCGCAAGACUGAAACUCAAAGGAAUUGACGGGGGCCCGCACAAGCGGUGGAGCAUGUGGUUUAAUUCGAAGCAACGCGAAGAACCUUACCAGGUCUUGACAUCCUCUGACAACCCUAGAGAUAGGGCUUCCCCUUCGGGGGCAGAGUGACAGGUGGUGCAUGGUUGUCGUCAGCUCGUGUCGUGAGAUGUUGGGUUAAGUCCCGCAACGAGCGCAACCCUUGAUCUUAGUUGCCAGCAUUCAGUUGGGCACUCUAAGGUGACUGCCGGUGACAAACCGGAGGAAGGUGGGGAUGACGUCAAAUCAUCAUGCCCCUUAUGACCUGGGCUACACACGUGCUACAAUGGGCAGAACAAAGGGCAGCGAAGCCGCGAGGCUAAGCCAAUCCCACAAAUCUGUUCUCAGUUCGGAUCGCAGUCUGGCACUCGACUGCGUGAAGCUGGAAUCGCUAGUAAUCGCGGAUCAGCAUGCCGCGGNUGAAUACGUUUCCCGGGCCUUGUACACACCGCCCGUCACACCACGAGAGUUUGUAACACCCGAAGUCGGUGAGGUAACCUUUUGGAGCCAGC
Molecule: ribosomal RNA, 1442 nt
Filed under: Bacillus licheniformis
Lineage: Bacteria; Bacillati; Bacillota; Bacilli; Caryophanales; Bacillaceae
Description: bacterial SSU rRNA
Rfam family: Bacterial small subunit ribosomal RNA
Source: RNAcentral